GGCGGCAGGCCUAACACAUGCAAGUCGAGCGCCCGUAGCAAUACGGGAGCGGCAGACGGGAGAGUAACACGUGGGAACGUACCUUUCAGUUCGGAACAACCCAGGGAAACUUGGGCUAAUACCGAAUACGCCCGUAAGGGGAAAGAUUUAUCGCUGAAAGAUCGGCCCGCGUCUGAUUAGCUAGUUGGUGAGGUAACGGCUCACCAAGGCGACGAUCAGUAGCUGGUCUGAGAGGAUGAUCAGCCUCACUGGGACUGAGACACGGCCCAGACUCCUACGGGAGGCAGCAGUGGGGAAUAUUGGACAAUGGGCGCAAGCCUGAUCCAGCCAUGCCGCGUGGAUGAUGAAGGCCCUAGGGUUGUAAAGUCCUUUCGGCGGGGAAGAUAAUGACGGUACCCGCAGAAGAAGCCCCGGCUAACUUCGUGCCAGCAGCCGCGGUAAUACGAAGGGGGCUAGCGUUGCUCGGAAUCACUGGGCGUAAAGCGCACGUAGGCGGACUCUUAAGUCGGUGGUGAAAUCCUGGAGCUCAACUCCAGAACUGCCUUCGAUACUGGGAGUCUUGAGUCCGGGAGAAGUGAGUGGAACUGCGA
Molecule: ribosomal RNA, 590 nt
Filed under: uncultured Alphaproteobacteria bacterium
Lineage: Bacteria; Pseudomonadati; Pseudomonadota; Alphaproteobacteria
Description: bacterial SSU rRNA
Rfam family: Bacterial small subunit ribosomal RNA
Source: RNAcentral